GAUGAACGCUGGCGGCGUGCUUAACACAUGCAAGUCGAACGGAACUACUCCAAUGAGAGUCUUCGGAAAGGAUUUGGUUUAGUUUAGUGGCGGACGGGUGAGUAACGCGUGGGUAACCUGCCCUAUACAGGGGGAUAACAGUUGGAAACGACUGUUAAUACCGCAUAAGCGCACAGGAGCGCAUGCUCCAGUGUGAAAAACUCCGGUGGUAUAGGAUGGACCCGCGUCUGAUUAGCUGGUUGGCGGGGUAACGGCCCACCAAGGCGACGAUCAGUAGCCGGCCUGAGAGGGUGAACGGCCACAUUGGGACUGAGACACGGCCCAAACUCCUACGGGAGGCAGCAGUGGGGAAUAUUGCACAAUGGGGGAAACCCUGAUGCAGCGACGCCGCGUGAGCGAAGAAGUAUCUCGGUAUGUAAAGCUCUAUCAGCAGGGAAGAAAAUGACGGUACCUGACUAAGAAGCCCCGGCUAACUACGUG
RNAcentral lists this ribosomal RNA (480 nucleotides) under uncultured bacterium. RNAcentral's name for it is "partial 16S ribosomal RNA". It matches the Rfam family "Bacterial small subunit ribosomal RNA", at positions 28 to 507 of the family's 1533-position model. The record is from RNAcentral.